RNAcentral lists this ribosomal RNA (483 nucleotides) under uncultured bacterium. RNAcentral describes it as "partial 16S ribosomal RNA". It matches the Rfam family "Bacterial small subunit ribosomal RNA", at positions 28 to 507 of the family's 1533-position model. The record is from RNAcentral.
GACGAAUGCUGGCGGCGUGCUUAACACAUGCAAGUCGAACGCUGAAGCUCAGCUUUUGUUGGGUGGAUGAGUGGCGAACGGGUGAGUAACACGUGAGUAACCUGCCUCCUUCUUUGGGAUAACGCCCGGAAACGGGUGCUAAUACUGGAUAUUCACUGGUCUUCGCAUGGGGGUUGGUGGAAAGGGUUUUUCUGGUGGGGGAUGGGCUCGCGGCCUAUCAGCUUGUUGGUGGGGUGAUGGCCUACCAAGGCUUUGACGGGUAGCCGGCCUGAGAGGGUGACCGGUCACAUUGGGACUGAGAUACGGCCCAGACUACUACGGGAGGCAGCAGUGGGGAAUAUUGCACAAUGGGCGCAAGCCUGAUGCAGCGACGCCGCGUGAGGGAUGGAGGCCUUCGGGUUGUGAACCUCUUUCGCUCAUGGUCAAGCCGCAACAAUGGUUGUGGUGAGGGUAGUGGGUAAAGAAGCGCCGGCUAACUACGUG